This 489-nucleotide ribosomal RNA is filed under the name Russula rubroalba. RNAcentral's name for it is "partial 12S small subunit ribosomal RNA". It matches the Rfam family "Bacterial small subunit ribosomal RNA", at positions 434 to 949 of the family's 1533-position model. Lineage: Eukaryota; Fungi; Basidiomycota; Agaricomycetes; Russulales; Russulaceae. The record is from RNAcentral.
UGAUAACAUAAGGGAAAAUAAUGAUAUUACCUUAUUAUUAGUGUCGUCCAAAACUGGUGCCAGAAGACUCGGUAAGGCCAGAGACACAAACGUUAAUCGUCUUAAUCAGGCGUAAAGGGUUUGUAGGCGGCUUUAAAAUUUACUUAUAAAAAUAAAUAAUAAGUAAAGAAUAAAAGCUAGAAUCAAAUAGAGGAUAUAUGAAAGAAUGCUUAGAGUAGGUCUGAUAUCCUUAGAUACUAAGUAGAAUAUUAAAGGCGAAAGCUUUUUUCCAUUAAUGAUUGACGCUCAGAAACGAAGGUGAGGAAAGGAAAUAGGAUUAGAUACCCAGAAUACCCCUCUCUGUCAACGAUGAAUGGUAGUUAUUAGUAAAAAAAAUUAUUAAUAGCAAUGUUAACACGAUAACCAUUCCGCCUUGUGAGUACAACUGCAAAGUUGAAAACAAAAAAAUUAGUCGGUUUCGGAGCAAACGAAGUGAAGCAUGUUAUUUAA